This is a long non-coding RNA of Corvus hawaiiensis (hawaiian crow), 4370 nucleotides long. RefSeq lists it as uncharacterized. The transcript is spliced from 4 exons. The record is from RefSeq and is a predicted model, not a curated record. NCBI's taxonomy places the organism in Eukaryota, Metazoa, Chordata, Aves, Passeriformes, Corvidae.
UGCUGAGUUUUCUGCCAAAUUUCAUAACACUUCCUCUUCCUCUGGGACUGCCUAGAAAAUAGUAAAUAAGUCAGAUUUUAAAAAACCAAACAAACCCAUUCAAGGUCUCAUUCAAGAGGCUUUAAGCGAGUUGCAACAGCAGGAGCUGCUGGAAGAGGUGUCCUGGAAGACAGAACUUGCUGCUGGAGGAGGCUUUGCACUGAUCCUGGUAUACAAGAACACAGGCUGGAGCAGAGGGAAGGUGAGAAAUUGGGUCCACAUGUAUUUGUCCCUCCUCGAGAAGGGAGAUCAGCCCUGAGGCUCAUUCCCAGCUGGAGUCCUUGUCAGGAGGCCAAUAUUGUUAUCUAGGGCCUGGCUGGUGUUUCUUCUUUGGACCUUUGCCACCGCAGUUAAAAUAUCUCUUCCACCACUCCCAGCAUGUAAAGGUCACGUUCCAGAGAUUAAUCUGGAGUCUCCCAGGCCAGCUCCUUGGCUUGGGAUCCCUGUUGGGACCGACACGAAGCAAAAGCCUCGGGAUGCUGGAUGUGCACUCCCAGUGCUGGAGAUCCCCUGGCUGGGAGUGGGCUUGUCACCAGCGCCAGGUCCAAUGUCCUCCGUGAGCUGGACAUGGAGUUGUGGACAAUUCUGAGCUAAACAGAAGCCAAUUCCCCCUGGAGAAAUGGUUAAUUCCUUGUAAAUCUGCUCCUAGCCCUCAGCCAAGCAGCCCUGGGAAGUCCAAGUUUGCGAAACAAGCAUUGGAGGCAUCGAGUUUGUUUGACCAGCUCUUACAGCUGGUCCUGCGCUUGGUUUUUGUCCAAACAAGUCCUGGAAUGACAGGAACGGCUUUCCAAGUUCAAUACAAGAGGAGAGUAAUUGAGUGCCUGAGGAAUGUGUAUCAGUGGGACCAUCUCUAAAUGAAGGGAUAAGUUACACCUAAGAAGCAAAGGAUGUGUGGGCAAGGAGAAGGGGAACAGAAAUUCCAUUAUCCCCAGGGAAAGAGGAGUCGAUAGCCUGUGGCCCAGGAGAUGGGAAGGACAGUGGGAGCUGCAGCAUGUCCUCUGCAGAGACACAAACCUUCAUACCAGCACCAUUCUCCCAGCUGGAUGGACCAAACCUGCAGCAUCCAAAUGUGCACGAAGCAGCUUAGGACAAUGCAAGGGUUCCUUCCCCGUGCCUCCCAGGGCUGCUCCUGAUGUCAGCUGGGCUUUCCCAGGAGAGGUGGUGGUGGUGCUCCCUGGAACUACUGCCUUCAUUCUCUCCCCGUGAUGAGGAGACCUUUUUGAGGAAAUCUUGGUUAUCCUGGCAACACUGCUGACAUGGACACCACUGAUACUCCAGGCUGAGGAUAAGGGAACACUGUUCCACCACAAGCAGGCUGUGCAACCUCCAUCCUUGGAGCUUUUCAAGACCCAGCUGAAUAAAGCCCUGCAUAACCUGGUCUGACCCCAGAGCUGCCCCUGCCAUGACCAGGAGGUUGGACUGAGAUCUCCUGAGGUUCUUUCCAACCCAAGUUAUCCUGUCAUACUCUGAUCCAAGGAUCCCAAACACGUCAGCGAUGGAGCAGCACCAGGACCUGUGGCUCCACUGCACUGAGCCCUGGGUCUCUGUCACACACUGGGAGAGUCAUGGGGAGUUUUACUGAGGCCAGCAGAGAGACAGAUCCCUUUGUUUCAGCUUCCACAUGAACUUCACCCUGCAACCUCCCACGAAAGCCAGUAAGUCUGGACCAUGAACCCUCUAGCUGGUGACAUUUAAUGACACUCACCCCGGGCUGGUAGCUGUCAUUAAAACUGAACCACAGACUCAUGCAGAAACAACACAGUCUCAUCGUCACUGGGAUCUACCUCUUCCUGGUUAGGAAACACCACGAGAAAGACCCUUCCCUUAGCUAAGGCCUGCAGGUGUUUCCUGGUGAUUCCAGGCAUGGGAACUGUCCAAGCUGUCCCUUUCAAUGAGUCAGUCAUGGGGCGUCCACGGCAAAGCCUUGGAGCCACAGAUGGAACCCUCAGGGCUCCGUGAUUUUUAGAACAAAUAGAUCAUCCGAUAAGAAAACCCCAGGCAGAGAUAAUUUCAGGACCAGGUAUUUCCAAGGGAAGUGGAUGGAGAUUUCUCUCCAGAUGGAUAACCACCAGGGAGAGGGAUUGCCUCCAGUUUACACAGGAGUGAGUCACUCACCUUCCUGUGGCAGGAGGAAACCCUCUGCAGAUUGGCACUGCAGGGACCUUCCCUUUGUAAGGAGGCUGCUAUUUUGGGAUAAAAUGCUACAAUGCUCUGCUUCUUCCUGUGUCCCUCAGGGCCAGCAGCAUGGGCUGGGGAAUCCCUGGCACAGUGGUGACCCUCCACACCACCCUGGCUCUGUGCUUCCUGCUCCAACCCAAACUAUUCCGUGAUCUUCCAUGAGGGCCGUGAGGAGUUAGGACGUGAUCAUCUCACACCAACGUGGUUUUAGGGCGUGUGGGAAGUCUGCUGAUGAACUGCUGGGUACCCUCUGCUCUGAAACUCAGCUCUCAAUGAGCAACCCUAAACCCCAAUGUGGCAGGGGCUAAAGGGCAGGAGCGUGGGACCAGCAUCCACAGGAACUGGGGUACGAGCUCCGCACCAAGCCCUGGCUCCUCAGAAUAACUGAGACUGGGGGAGUUAUCUGCAGUUUCUGCUCCAAGCCUGACCUUCAGUGAGGUCAGGUUUUGUCAAGGACAGGCUCGGCUGCCUCCAAGGAUGGAGAUUUUCCUACUCCCCAGUGGGACCUCUCCAGCUCCUCCGGAAGCCCUGCCUCCCUCAAGCCAACCAUGCUCCCCAGCCUGGUGCUGUUCCCAAGCUCCCUGAGCAUUCCCGUUCCAUCAUGCAGGGGGUUACAGGAGUGAUGAAGGUUGUUCAAAGAGUUCUUGAGCCUGUCCUGGCCCUUCAGGACCCCCUGUAGUGUGCAGGAGAGGAUAUCCCAAGUGCAGCUGCAGUGGGACAUUGUGUGGGUGGGAUCAACAGCCCACAGCCAGGCAUUGGGUUAACCCCUUCACAUCCCUUCUCCUCCCAGCUGUCCAGUCACUUCUUGAAGAGUUCAUGGUGUUUCAUCCACAGGCAAGAGAAAGGAAAAGUCAUUGGGUGUUUCUGCUUGGAUUUAGGAGCAGUUUCAUCUUAGGGACGUCAUCUCAGGACAUGGCAGCAUCUGCAUGGCCAGCUGGUGUUAGAGGACAGCACUUAGGCCAUGUCCCUGUGCCACCCAAUGACACCCUCAUUUGGGGUCCCCGUGUCACUUCUUGUCCCCAGGAUGUCAGUGAGGAGUGAGUGGACCUUUGGGAAGGAGUGGGAUGAGGGGACGCCACAGAGGGCUGACAAAAACAUGGGCAAGGCAAAGGGCUCUGUUCAGCUCUCAGUGAGAUCAGAAGCAGGUUGGUCCAAGGGACUGCCUAUCCCUGGGAAAUGCCUUUUGUAAUGGGAAAAGGGAUGCUCAGAAGACAAAAAAUGUUCCCACAUCCUGGCAAGGGCAACCUGCACUCCCAGGCAGUGCUUCCUUCCCGACCUUGGCUGGUGAAUCCAUCUCACCCGGGGCACUGAGGUCCUCUGUGUCCACAAAGUGCACCUCAAGCUGAUGCAACCAUGGAGUUACCGUGUCCUACAACCACUGAUGUGUAUCCCAGAUGGCAUCCCGGAGCCGGAGCUAGGAGUGUUAACGGCACGGGGCUGCCCAGGGCGUUCCCGCCUUGGAGGGUGCCCCAUCGUGUUCCAGCCUGAGCUGGGACGUGCCACCACCAGCAACCAAGGGUGGCACAGCAGUGAGCGGUGUCAGCUGCGGAGCUGUCACCUGUCCCCUUCCCGUGGCUGUAGGACCGGUGUGAUUCGCAUCCACAUGGCACCCCCACGUGGGGAAAGCCUGAAGGCUCUGGCCUUCAUGCUUUUCAUGGAAGGAAGGGCAGAAGGAAGGCUGGAAAUGCCUGGUUCAGUGCCACCAUGAGCUUUGAAGGCCUGGAAGAAAUGCUCAGAACAGAGCCGUGGAUGUCAGAUAAUCUCAAGCCCAAUUUCGGGAACAUUAUGGACAUUAUGGCUAAUUAUUCCAGGGAUUAAAUUCAGAUGCGAAUGUUGAAGUGGCCCAACGGGACAACGGAGCGGCCGCUUGGGAGCUGGGAUCCACCACGGUGCCGUCGCCUGAGGAUGGGAAUCAAGGGAGCUCCGUUCCUUAAAGUUCCUCUCCAAAUUUUGUUUUUAUGGCUAAUUUUUUUUUUUCCUGGGUCCAGGAAUACGCUGCAGUUUUCAGCUGCGGGUUUGUCACCAUUGGCUGGAAUUUGGCUCUUGAGUUUUCCAACCUUUAUGUCUCAUCUCUGUUGGGGUUCCCUGAGAGGAGUGUAUUGCGCUAGGACUGUAUUCUGUGCCCUCCUUAAUUUAAAAUGAAAUGAAAUAUA